This 82-nucleotide transfer RNA is filed under the name Ochromonas danica. Its description in RNAcentral is "tRNA-Leu". It matches the Rfam family "tRNA". From Rfam's summary of the family: Transfer RNA (tRNA) molecules are approximately 80 nucleotides in length. The record is from RNAcentral. Lineage: Eukaryota; Chrysophyceae; Chromulinales; Chromulinaceae.
AUCGAAGUGGUGAAAUUGGUAGACACAUUAGGUUUAGGUUCUAACUCUAAUAUGAGUAGGGGUUCAAGUCCCCUCUUCGAUA